RNAcentral lists this ribosomal RNA (604 nucleotides) under Parvospeonomus delarouzeei. Its description in RNAcentral is "SSU rRNA". It matches the Rfam family "Eukaryotic small subunit ribosomal RNA", at positions 22 to 602 of the family's 1831-position model. The record is from RNAcentral. Lineage: Eukaryota; Metazoa; Arthropoda; Insecta; Coleoptera; Leiodidae. RNAcentral also lists the same sequence under 2 other names.
AGUCAUAUGCUUGUCUCAAAGAUUAAGCCAUGCAUGUCUCAGUACAAGCCAAAUUAAGGUGAAACCGCGAAAGGCUCAUUAAAUCAGUUAUGGUUCCUUAGAUCGUACACACAUUUACUUGGAUAACUGUGGUAAUUCUAGAGCUAAUACAUGCCAACAGAACUCCGACCGGAGACGGAAGGAGUGCCUUUAUUAGAUCAAAACCAAUCGGUGGCGCGGCCUCGGUCGUGUCAUCGUACAACAUGGUGAAUCUGAAUAACGUUUGCUGAUCGCACGGUCUCGCACCGGCGACGCAUCUUUCAAAUGUCUGCCUUAUCAACUGUCGAUGGUAGGUUCUGCGCCUACCAUGGUUGUAACGGGUAACGGGGAAUCAGGGUUCGAUUCCGGAGAGGGAGCCUGAGAAACGGCUACCACAUCCAAGGAAGGCAGCAGGCGCGCAAAUUACCCACUCCCGGCACGGGGAGGUAGUGACGAAAAAUAACGAUACGGGACUCAUCCGAGGCCCCGUAAUCGGAAUGAGCACACUUUAAAUCCUUUCACGAGGAUCAAUCGGAGGGCAAGUCAGGUGCCAGCAGCCGCGGUAAUUCCUGCUCCGAUAGCGUAU